UUAAGUUAUUAAGGGCGCACGGUGGAUGCCUUGGCACUAGAAGCCGAUGAAGGACGUUACUAACGACGAUAUGCUUUGGGGAGCUGUAAGUAAGCUUUGAUCCAGAGAUUUCCGAAUGGGGAAACCCAGCAUGAGUUAUGUCAUGUUAUCGAUAUGUGAAUACAUAGCAUAUCAGAAGGCACACCCGGAGAACUGAAACAUCUUAGUACCCGGAGGAAGAGAAAGAAAAUUCGAUUCCCUUAGUAGCGGCGAGCGAAACGGGAAGAGCCCAAACCAACAAGCUUGCUUGUUGGGGUUGUAGGACACUCUAUACGGAGUUACAAAGGACGACAUUAGACGAAUCAUCUGGAAAGAUGAAUCAAAGAAGGUAAUAAUCCUGUAGUCGAAAAUGUUGUCUCUCUUGAGUGGAUCCUGAGUACGACGGAGCACGUGAAAUUCCGUCGGAAUCUGGGAGGACCAUCUCCUAAGGCUAAAUACUCUCUAGUGACCGAUAGUGAACCAGUACCGUGAGGGAAAGGUGAAAAGCACCCCGGAAGGGGAGUGAAAUAGAACCUGAAACCGUGUGCUUACAAGUAGUCAGAGCCCGUUAAUGGGUGAUGGCGUGCCUUUUGUAGAAUGAACCGGCGAGUUACGAUUUGAUGCAAGGUUAAGCAGUAAAUGUGGAGCCGUAGCGAAAGCGAGUCUGAAUAGGGCGUUUAGUAUUUGGUCGUAGACCCGAAACCAGGUGAUCUACCCUUGGUCAGGUUGAAGUUCAGGUAACACUGAAUGGAGGACCGAACCGACUUACGUUGAAAAGUGAGCGGAUGAACUGAGGGUAGCGGAGAAAUUCCAAUCGAACCUGGAGAUAGCUGGUUCUCUCCGAAAUAGCUUUAGGGCUAGCCUCAAGUGAUGAUUAUUGGAGGUAGAGCACUGUUUGGACGAGGGGCCCCUCUCGGGUUACCGAAUUCAGACAAACUCCGAAUGCCAAUUAAUUUAACUUGGGAGUCAGAACAUGGGUGAUAAGGUCCGUGUUCGAAAGGGAAACAGCCCAGACCACCAGCUAAGGUCCCAAAAUAUAUGUUAAGUGGAAAAGGAUGUGGCGUUGCCCAGACAACUAGGAUGUUGGCUUAGAAGCAGCCAUCAUUUAAAGAGUGCGUAAUAGCUCACUAGUCGAGUGACACUGCGCCGAAAAUGUACCGGGGCUAAACAUAUUACCGAAGCUGUGGAUUGUCCUUUGGACAAUGGUAGGAGAGCGUUCUAAGGGCGUUGAAGCAUGAUCGUAAGGACAUGUGGAGCGCUUAGAAGUGAGAAUGCCGGUGUGAGUAGCGAAAGACGGGUGAGAAUCCCGUCCACCGAUUGACUAAGGUUUCCAGAGGAAGGCUCGUCCGCUCUGGGUUAGUCGGGUCCUAAGCUGAGGCCGACAGGCGUAGGCGAUGGAUAACAGGUUGAUAUUCCUGUACCACCUAUAAUCGUUUUAAUCGAUGGGGGGACGCAGUAGGAUAGGCGAAGCGUGCGAUUGGAUUGCACGUCUAAGCAGUAAGGCUGAGUAUUAGGCAAAUCCGGUACUCGUUGAGGCUGAGCUGUGAUGGGGAGAAGACAUUGUGUCUUCGAGUCGUUGAUUUCACACUGCCGAGAAAAGCCUCUAGAUAGAAAAUAGGUGCCCGUACCGCAAACCGACACAGGUAGUCAAGAUGAGAAUUCUAAGGUGAGCGAGCGAACUCUCGUUAAGGAACUCGGCAAAAUGACCCCGUAACUUCGGGAGAAGGGGUGCUCUUUAGGGUUAACGCCCAGAAGAGCCGCAGUGAAUAGGCCCAAGCGACUGUUUAUCAAAAACACAGGUCUCUGCUAAACCGUAAGGUGAUGUAUAGGGGCUGACGCCUGCCCGGUGCUGGAAGGUUAAGAGGAGUGGUUAGCUUCUGCGAAGCUACGAAUCGAAGCCCCAGUAAACGGCGGCCGUAACUAUAACGGUCCUAAGGUAGCGAAAUUCCUUGUCGGGUAAGUUCCGACCCGCACGAAAGGCGUAACGAUUUGGGCACUGUCUCAACGAGAGACUCGGUGAAAUCAUAGUACCUGUGAAGAUGCAGGUUACCCGCGACAGGACGGAAAGACCCCGUGGAGCUUUACUGUAGCCUGAUAUUGAAAUUCGGCACAGCUUGUACAGGAUAGGUAGGAGCCUUUGAAACGUGAGCGCUAGCUUACGUGGAGGCGCUGGUGGGAUACUACCCUAGCUGUGUUGGCUUUCUAACCCGCACCACUUAUCGUGGUGGGAGACAGUGUCAGGCGGGCAGUUUGACUGGGGCGGUCGCCUCCUAAAAGGUAACGGAGGCGCUCAAAGGUUCCCUCAGAAUGGUUGGAAAUC
Molecule: ribosomal RNA, 2338 nt
Filed under: Staphylococcus aureus VET0129R
Lineage: Bacteria; Bacillati; Bacillota; Bacilli; Caryophanales; Staphylococcaceae
Description: bacterial LSU rRNA
Rfam family: Bacterial large subunit ribosomal RNA
Source: RNAcentral